AACGCACAUUGCGCCCCUCGGUAUUCCGGGGGGCAUGCCUGUUCGAGCGUCAUUGCACCCCUCAAGCGCAGCUUGGUAUUGGGCUUCGCCCCCGCGGCGUGCCCGAAAAUCAGUGGCGGUCCGGAGUGACUUUAAGCGUAUUAAAUUAAUCCCGCUUUGAAAGUUUGCCCCGCGGUCGGCCAAAUGACCCCCCAAUUUUCAAUGAUUGACCUCGGAUCAGGUCGGGAUACCCGCUGAACUUAA
This 243-nucleotide unclassified non-coding RNA is filed under the name uncultured fungus. RNAcentral's name for it is "partial contains 5.8S ribosomal RNA, internal transcribed spacer 2, and large subunit ribosomal RNA". The stretch from base 1 to 52 matches the Rfam family "5.8S ribosomal RNA", at positions 103 to 154 of the family's 154-position model. The record is from RNAcentral. Lineage: Eukaryota; Fungi.